AUACGGAGGAUCCGAGCGUUAUCCGGAUUUAUUGGGUUUAAAGGGUGCGCAGGCGGGAGAUUAAGUCGGCGGGGAAAUUUUGCAGCUCAACUGGAAAAGUGCCUUCGAAACUGGUUUUCUUGAGUGUAGAUGAAGGAGGCGGAAUUUGUGGUGUAGCGGUGAAAUGCAUGGCUAUCACGAGGAACUCCGAUUGCGCAGGCAGCUUACUAAACUAAGACUUACGCUCAGGCACGAAGGCUUUAAAGGCAAACAGGAUUAGAUGCCCUUGUAGUCCACGCAGUAAGCGAUGAAUACUAGCUUUAUGCAACACAAUGUAAUCGGCUGAGGCAAAACAAUUAGGAAUCACCCUUGGGAGCUCGGUCUUACGAAGGAAGCUCAAAUUAAUUACUGGGG
This 393-nucleotide ribosomal RNA is filed under the name uncultured bacterium. RNAcentral's name for it is "partial 16S ribosomal RNA". It matches the Rfam family "Bacterial small subunit ribosomal RNA", at positions 523 to 918 of the family's 1533-position model. The record is from RNAcentral.